RNAcentral lists this ribosomal RNA (496 nucleotides) under uncultured bacterium. RNAcentral describes it as "partial 16S ribosomal RNA". It matches the Rfam family "Bacterial small subunit ribosomal RNA", at positions 28 to 506 of the family's 1533-position model. The record is from RNAcentral.
GAUGAACGCUGGCGGCGUGCCUAAUACAUGCAAGUCGAGCGAACGGACGAGAAGCUUGCUUCUCUGAUGUUAGCGGCGGACGGGUGAGUAACACGUGGAUAACCUACCUAUAGGACUGGGAUAACUUCGGGAAACCGGAGCUAAUACCGGAUAAUAUUUUGAACCGCAUGGUUCAAAAGUGAAAGACGGUCUUGCUGUCACUUAUAGAUGGAUCCGCGCUGCAUUAGCUAGUUGGUAAGGUAACGGCUUACCAAGGCAACGAUGCAUAGCCGACCUGAGAGGGUGAUCGGCCACACUGGAACUGAGACACGGUCCAGACGCCUACGGGAGGCAGCAGUAGGGAAUCUUCCGCAGUGGGCGAAAGCCUGACGGAGCAACGCCGCGUGAGUGAUGAAGGUCUUCGGAUCGUAAAACUCUGUUAUUAGGGAAGAACAUAUGUGUAAGUAACUGUGCACAUCUUGACGGUACCUAAUCAGAAAGCCACGGCUAACUACGU